UUUCCCUCAGGAUAGCUGGCACUCGCUUGAGCGAGUCUCAUCUGGUAAAGCGAAUGAUUAGAGGCCUUGGGGCCGAAACGACCUCAACCUAUUCUCAAACUUUAAAUGGGUGAGAUCUCUGGCUUGCUUGAACGUUGAAGCCACGAGAUAUGUACACUUGCGUGUUACAAUGGAUCAGAGUGCCAAGUGGGCCAAUUUUGGUA
Molecule: ribosomal RNA, 203 nt
Filed under: Boucekinus tatianae
Lineage: Eukaryota; Metazoa; Arthropoda; Insecta; Hymenoptera; Torymidae
Description: partial 28S ribosomal RNA
Rfam family: Eukaryotic large subunit ribosomal RNA
Source: RNAcentral